Molecule: ribosomal RNA, 429 nt
Filed under: Fusobacteriota bacterium
Lineage: Bacteria; Fusobacteriati; Fusobacteriota
Description: Fusobacteria bacterium partial 16S ribosomal RNA
Rfam family: Bacterial small subunit ribosomal RNA
Source: RNAcentral
UGGGGAAUCUUCCGCAAUGGACGAAAGUCUGACGGAGCAACGCCGCGUGAGUGAAGACGGCCUUCGGGUUGUAAAGCUCUGUGAUCCGGGACGAAAGAGCCUGAGGUAAAUAGCCUAAGGAAGUGACGGUACCGGAAAAGCAAGCCACGGCUAACUACGUGCCAGCAGCCGCGGUAAUACGUAGGUGGCAAGCGUUGUCCGGAAUUAUUGGGCGUAAAGCGCGCGCAGGCGGCUUACUAAGUCCAUCUUAAAAGUGCGGGGCUUAACCCCGUGAUGGGAUGGAAACUGGAAAGCUGGAGUAUCGGAGAGGAAAGUGGAUUUCCUAGUGUAGCGGUGAAAUGCGUAGAGAUUAGGAAGAACACCGGUGGCGAAGGCGACUUUCUGGACGAAAACUGACGCUGAGGCGCGAAAGCGUGGGGAGCAAACAGG